UAAUGAGGCUGAGUGUUCGAAAUGCC
RNAcentral lists this non-coding RNA (26 nucleotides) under Rattus norvegicus (Norway rat). Lineage: Eukaryota; Metazoa; Chordata; Mammalia; Rodentia; Muridae. The record is from RNAcentral.